AUCUCUAGGGCCAUCUGCAGGACAUCUCUCCAGCUGAACCUGCAGGAUACAUUUUCUAAUUUUAUUUUCAUGGAUCUGACAUGCACGUAUGCAUACAGAAUACCUAGGAAUCUAGCUCCUGCAGCACAUUCCUGGGAGAUUGUGGAGUGCAAAUUUCUGAUCACCAGGUUUACAUGGAUCUCCUCGCCUAUGCUGUCAACGGCCCAACUUUUCCUCUCACUAAAUAAGUGAAUCAUAGAACUUAAAACACCCAGGCCUGAUGUAAGACAAAGUGACUUGGAGCAAAAACUGAAACAUUUACUGGGAUUUGCAGAGGCAAACAAGUAAAAAAAAAAAGUUUUUAACACGGUUUUUGGGUCUGGUUUCUUUUUCAUUA
Molecule: long non-coding RNA, 376 nt
Organism: Passer domesticus (house sparrow)
Lineage: Eukaryota; Metazoa; Chordata; Aves; Passeriformes; Passeridae
Exons: 3
Source: RefSeq, a predicted model, not a curated record